Molecule: long non-coding RNA, 1295 nt
Organism: Chelonia mydas (Green sea turtle)
Lineage: Eukaryota; Metazoa; Chordata; Testudines; Cheloniidae
Exons: 3
Source: RefSeq, a predicted model, not a curated record
AAGCUUAUGCCCAAAUAAAUUUGUUAGUCUCUAAGGUGCCACAAGUACUCCUGUUCUUUUUGCUGAUACAGACUAACACGGCUGCUACUCUGAAACCUGAUUACAGAGUGAACCUCACCUGAGGGGAAUCAGGCAAUUCCCGAUACAGAGCAGAAGGUGACUGCAGUAAUAGACUGAGAGCCGGGCUUAAGUGGUGAUAAAGCUCAGCUGGGAAAAGUUCUGGAAGGAGAGCUAGGCAGAAAGCCUAGGGAUUAAGACCAGUUCUCCAGGCAGGCAGGACUGGGAGAGACCCUGAUUAAAAGGCUGGAUAGGAAGUGGCCAAGAGAAAACUGCAGCUCAGCUCUGAGGCUUUACGAAAAUACAAAUAACGGGAGAGCUGGCAACACUGUGACAGGAACCUUGUUUUUCCCAGUAUCCCUUUCUGUGGCUGGCGCUUUAUAUUUGAUAGAAUCAAGAAGCUGCAGCCUUAAGGGGGACAUUAUGCAAAUGACUGCACCUCUCUCUUCCAGCUAAUUGCAGCUGCUAAUCACUGCUCCUUAACUGGCCAGAGAUGAGCACUUUGAAAUAAGGUAAAUUUCACCCACUGUGAAUGGAGGAUUAUGUGCUGUUGAAAAGGCCUGCACUGUCAGGACUAUAUUCUGUUGUAAUUAGAAAUGAGAUAUUGAAUGUGAACCCUAUCAGACUUUAGAAAUAGAAUCUCUUGUCUCAUGCAUAUCUUUCUGUAUUGGGCUGAACUCCCUUGAACUUUGGAUCCAUAUUUGAGCCUCAUGAUUUGGUCUACCUCCGUAGUGCUAAUGACAUAUGUUGCUUUCUUCAUCAGUUGUUGUGAUGCACACAGUAUAGAAACAAAUUUGAAAAUGAUAAGAAAAUAUAACGGUGCCAACAUUUCCUAGUCACACAAUAUUAGGUGGUUUUCUUAAGGCCCAAGCUCCUGGAUUCAUGUGAUUAUUUGAGAAUUUUGGCUUUCAUUUUAAAAUGAAAGCAAGUUUCUAGCCCCAUGGCUUUGGAUAAAAACUUGAAAAUGUGAACCUUAAAGGAUCAAACACCAGAAGUCAAAUAACAAGAAUCCAAAAUGUGGUAUUUAAAAAAAUCUCAUGAUUCCAAUAUUAUGAUUUUUUGUGAGCCUGACUCAUUAUUUUUAAAUGCUUGGGGUUGGCAAUAGUGUGAUGUGCUGUAUAGAUGAGAAAGGGAGAAAGCUGGCCUCAUAGUGCUGGCAAAGAUUGUGUCCUGAACUUAAGUGAGCUGGUAUGGCAACAGUCUUGCGAUGAAUCAGCAGCCCCUGAAACACUGUAUUG